GACGAACGCUGGCGGCGUGCCUAAUACAUGCAAGUCGAGCGAAGUUUUUCUGGUGCUUGCACCGGAAAAACUUAGCGGCGAACGGGUGAGUAACACGUAAAGAACCUGCCUCAUAGACUGGGACAACUAUUGGAAACGAUAGCUAAUACCGGAUAACAGCAUUAACUGCAUGGUUGAUGUUUAAAGGUUGGUUUUGCUAACACUAUGAGAUGGCUUUGCGGUGCAUUAGCUAGUUGGUGGGGUAAAGGCCUACCAAGGCGACGAUGCAUAGCCGACCUGAGAGGGUGAUCGGCCACACUGGGACUGAGACACGGCCCAGACUCCUACGGGAGGCAGCAGUAGGGAAUCUUCCGCAAUGGGCGAAAGCCUGACGGAGCAACGCCGCGUGAGUGAAGAAGGAUUUCGGUUCGUAAAGCUCUGUUGUUAGGGAAGAAUGAUUGUGUAGUAACUAUACACAGUAGAGACGGUACCUAACCAGAAAGCCACGGCUAACUACGUGCCAGCAGCCGCGGUAAUACGUAGGUGGCAAGCGUUGUCCGGAAUUAUUGGGCGUAAAGCGCGCGCAGGUGGUUUAAUAAGUCUGAUGUGAAAGCCCACGGCUCAACCGUGGAGGGUCAUUGGAAACUGUUAAACUUGAGUGCAGGAGAGAAAAGUGGAAUUCCUAGUGUAGCGGUGAAAUGCGUAGAGAUUAGGAGGAACACCAGUGGCGAAGGCGGCUUUUUGGCCUGUAACUGACACUGAGGCGCGAAAGCGUGGGGAGCAAACAGG
RNAcentral lists this ribosomal RNA (768 nucleotides) under uncultured bacterium. Its description in RNAcentral is "bacterial SSU rRNA". It matches the Rfam family "Bacterial small subunit ribosomal RNA", at positions 28 to 776 of the family's 1533-position model. The record is from RNAcentral.